GGAGAGAUGCCCGAGUGGCUAAAGGGGACGGUCUGUAAAACCGUUGGCGUACGCCUACGUAGGUUCGAAUCCUACUCUCUCCACCA
This 86-nucleotide transfer RNA is filed under the name Alphaproteobacteria bacterium. RNAcentral describes it as "tRNA-Tyr". It matches the Rfam family "tRNA". Rfam says of the family: Transfer RNA (tRNA) molecules are approximately 80 nucleotides in length. Their secondary structure includes four short double-helical elements and three loops (D, anti-codon, and T loops). Lineage: Bacteria; Pseudomonadati; Pseudomonadota; Alphaproteobacteria. The record is from RNAcentral.